GAGCCAAACAGAAGGAAGAUUGAAAGAUUGAGAGUUUUUUGUGUUGAUUCGGUGGAUGGUGGUGCAGGGCCGUUUAGUUGGGGGAGCGAUUUGUAUGGUUAAUUCCAAUAACGAGCGAGACUCUAGCCUAUUAAAUAGGUGCGUGGUUCUCUGCACCUUGCACCCUUCUUAAAGGGACGAGCGGCUCCUAGCCCCACGAAACAGCGCAAUGACAGGUCUGUGAUGCCCCUAAAUGUCC
Molecule: non-coding RNA, 238 nt
Filed under: Ixodes scapularis (black-legged tick)
Lineage: Eukaryota; Metazoa; Arthropoda; Arachnida; Ixodida; Ixodidae
Description: Eukaryotic small subunit ribosomal RNA
Rfam family: Eukaryotic small subunit ribosomal RNA
Source: Rfam by way of RNAcentral